AGAUUGAACGCUGGCGGCAGGCCUAACACAUGCAAGUCGAGCGACAGCACGGGUACUUGUACCUGGUGGCGAGCGGCGGACGGGUGAGUAAUGCCUAGGAAUCUGCCUGGUAGUGGGGGAUAACGCUCGGAAACGGACGCUAAUACCGCAUACGUCCUACGGGAGAAAGCCGGGGACCUUCGGGCCUUGCGCUAUCAGAUGAGCCUAGGUCGGAUUAGCUAGUUGGUGAGGUUAAUGGCUCACCAAGGCGACG
This 253-nucleotide ribosomal RNA is filed under the name uncultured soil bacterium. RNAcentral describes it as "partial 16S ribosomal RNA". It matches the Rfam family "Bacterial small subunit ribosomal RNA", at positions 26 to 278 of the family's 1533-position model. The record is from RNAcentral.